This 176-nucleotide ribosomal RNA is filed under the name uncultured Verrucomicrobiota bacterium. Its description in RNAcentral is "uncultured Verrucomicrobia bacterium partial 16S ribosomal RNA". It matches the Rfam family "Bacterial small subunit ribosomal RNA", at positions 335 to 504 of the family's 1533-position model. Lineage: Bacteria; Pseudomonadati; Verrucomicrobiota. The record is from RNAcentral.
ACUCCUACGGGAGGCAGCAGUCGAGAAUCAUUCACAAUGGACGAAAGUCUGAUGGUGCAACGCCGCGUGUGGGAUGAAGGCCUUAGGGUCGUAAACCACUGUCAUGUGAGAGUAAGGCAUAUUAGUUAAUACCUAGUAUGUUUGAUAGUUCACAAGAGGAAGGGACGGCUAACUCC